AAGGUAAAUUAAUUUUAAAGCUUCUAACUUUAUUAAAGCACUAAACAAAGUGUUUUACCUUU
RNAcentral lists this transfer RNA (62 nucleotides) under Rhipiphorothrips cruentatus. RNAcentral describes it as "tRNA-Ser". Lineage: Eukaryota; Metazoa; Arthropoda; Insecta; Thysanoptera; Thripidae. The record is from RNAcentral.